Molecule: long non-coding RNA, 331 nt
Organism: Beta vulgaris subsp. vulgaris (sugar beet)
Lineage: Eukaryota; Viridiplantae; Streptophyta; Magnoliopsida; Caryophyllales; Amaranthaceae
Exons: 3
Source: RefSeq, a predicted model, not a curated record
UCAGCUGAUUGUGGGUGUGGUAGAGGAACUUAUUCAUCCUCAUCAAACAGAGGAUUAGCAAUUCUUAACUUUGUCAUCUGUUGGUUGAUGUGCACGGCAGCAAUUAUCUUGUUCCUAGUCGCUGGAGCCACACACUAUGGAGCACCAUUUUUGAAGAUGGGAGGCAAUAAUACAUCUCUGGGAGAUACGUCGCAGUGGAUCGGCACAGGCAAUUGCUCCAGAGUUAGACGUGGAGUAUUUGGUGCAACAGCUGCAUUAUCCUUUGUUGGUAUCACCCUUGGAAUCAUUAGUUACAUUGCCUUGGUUUCCGAAGAUUAUAGAGCCAGAAAUA